GGGGCUCUCAGUCCAUGCUAGGUGGGGUGCUGGGGGGCUCUCAGUCCUUGCUAGGUGGGGUGCUGGGGGUCUCUCAGUCCUUGCUAUGAGUGGAUUUGGGGGCCUCUCAGUCCUUGCUAUGAGUGGAUUUGGGGGGCUCUCAGUCCAUGCUAUGAGUGGAUUUGGGGGUCUCUCAGUCCUUGCUAUGAGUGGAUUUGGGGGGCUCUCAGUCCAUGCUAGGUGGGGUGCUGGGGGGCUCUCAGUGCUGGGGCCCCUGCUAGGCAGAGAGCCGGUGCAGGGGGCCCCUCCCAGGAGCUGGAGCAGGAGUUGGAGCAGGAGCUGGAGCCCCGCAGCCCGGAUCAUCCUGCGG
Non-coding RNA from Pelobates cultripes (western spadefoot toad), 349 nucleotides. Lineage: Eukaryota; Metazoa; Chordata; Amphibia; Anura; Pelobatidae. The record is from the annotation of a GenBank genome assembly.